CUCCCAGUCGCGCAGCAUCAGCCGUGCUGCGGCUCUGUGUUCCUGCGGUGCUGAGAUUUAGAGCAAGGUCAGAACCACAGCAGCUCCUCAGACGAGGGACGUGGGAAUGUGAGAGCAACGCGUAGGAAGCAAAGGUGGAAAGGAAAGACAAAGUAAAUUCCACAGCUUGAACUCCCCCUUAUAAGGUCUUUGAGGACUCGGUUCCUCUAACGUGUACCUGGAGUGUUCAGUCCGGACAGAGGCAGAAAUACCAAACAUGUGUCUCCGUGGCCUUGAGACUUCACACGGCUCCGACUCAGCGCCCGGCUCGCAUAGCCAGGAGACAUGCCGAUUCUCUGAACAGAUUUUAAAGAUCUUCUCUCCGCAUGGCUGGAGAGAAGCUUCACCGCUGGAUGCAAGAUGCCUCCGACUUCAAUGGAAACUGUGUUCUGAUGUAAAACUUGUGUAACUGGUUGCACGUGCACAUGUACACACAUCUUUAAAAAGUAACGGCCUGCUAACGGCAAACUCUGCACUUCCAUCAUUGGACACAGUGAAGAUCAAUCACGCACGUGAAGUAACACAUUUCUGAUUAGAGGUCUUAAAACUCACACAGCAUGAGUUCCUUCUGUAGAAAUAAUCAUUGAUCUUUUAUAUUAUUUUUGAACUAAUAACAGAGACAACAAGUUCUCCUGCACCGAACCGGAUGAAGAACCUAAACAGAUGAAGAAAUAUCAAUCAU
Long non-coding RNA from Scophthalmus maximus (turbot), 721 nucleotides. RefSeq lists it as uncharacterized. Lineage: Eukaryota; Metazoa; Chordata; Actinopteri; Pleuronectiformes; Scophthalmidae. The record is from RefSeq and is a predicted model, not a curated record. The transcript has 4 exons.